GACGAACGCUGGCGGCGUGCCUAAUACAUGCAAGUCGAACGCUUCUUUCCUCCCGAGUUCUUGCACUCAAUUGGAAAGAGGAGUGGCGGACGGGGGAGUAACACGUGGGUAACCUACCCAUCAGAGGGGGAUAACACUUGGAAACAGGUGCUAAUACCGCAUAACAGUUUAUGCCGCAUGGCAUAAGAGUGAAAGGCGCUUUCGGGUGUCGUUGAUGGAUGGACCCGCGGUGCAUUAGCUAGUUGGUGAGGUAACGGCUCACCAAGGCCACGAUGCAUAGCCGACCUGAGAGGGUGAUCGGCCACACUGGGACUGAGACACGGCCCAGACUCCUACGGGAGGCAGCAGUAGGGAAUCUUCGGCAAUGGACGAAAGUCUGACCGAGCAACGCCGCGUGAGUGAAGAAGGUUUUCGGAUCGUAAAACUCUGUUGUUAGAGAAGAACAAGGACGUUAGUAACUGAACGCCCCCUGACGGUAUCUAACCAGAAAGCCACGGCUAACUACGUG
RNAcentral lists this ribosomal RNA (508 nucleotides) under uncultured bacterium. Its description in RNAcentral is "partial 16S ribosomal RNA". It matches the Rfam family "Bacterial small subunit ribosomal RNA", at positions 28 to 507 of the family's 1533-position model. The record is from RNAcentral.